UACGUAGGCAGCGAGCGUUGUUCGGAGUUACUGGGCGUAAAGAGUGCGUAGGCGGUUUUCUAAGUUUGGUGUGAAAUCUCCCGGCUUAACUGGGAGGGUGCGCCGAAAACUGGCGGGCUGGAGUACGGGAGGGGGAAGCGGAAUUCCUGGUGUAGCGGUGAAAUGCGUAGAUACCAGGAGGAACACCGGUGGCGAAGGCGGUUUCCUGGCCCAGUACUGACGCUGAGGCACGAAAGCGUGGGGAGCGAACGGG
This 253-nucleotide ribosomal RNA is filed under the name uncultured bacterium. RNAcentral describes it as "partial 16S ribosomal RNA". It matches the Rfam family "Bacterial small subunit ribosomal RNA", at positions 524 to 776 of the family's 1533-position model. The record is from RNAcentral.